UACGGGAAGUUGAGAGUUUCAGAUCAGAGCACUGCAGCCUAUCACAACAUGUUUGAAAACAUGAAGCUCAGAACUGUCGCCACAGGGGACAAGCGCCACCAACUAUGUCACCACUGGAUUGGCCCGCAAUGAAUGUUAAUGAUUUUCAUUGAUGAUCUCGGAGUGGCGUUUGUAGAUGCAGAAGUAGAAAGAAAACUGUGUGACGGUGGAUCGUGGAAUGUCGGGCCCUCUGCAAAUGACUUCUCAUUGGGUGUUUCGUGACUACCAUCCGAUCUGGGCCAGUGUGAAUUACAAAUAUUUCAUAACAAUGUCAGAACAAAUGCUCCUUUGUUGAGAUGGGUUUGAUUUGACUUUUCAUUUCGGUUUUGGAUCUCGACAAGGUGAAGUUUAUAUCCACAUAGGUGGUUAUUUUGUUCUUGGCAAUGAAAAGCAAAACCAGCCCUUAAACGGAAAACACGUUUUAAGUAUCCAGGUGCUGAUUUAAUGUGAUGAACAGGAUUUGGAGAAUGCAGGAUGUAGAGAAAGAAGAAUAAUAACAGACUGUGGUAAGAGAAUGGAGACACAAGAAAGACUGCAGAUGUUGGAAAUCUGGAGCAAC
Long non-coding RNA from Pristis pectinata (smalltooth sawfish), 598 nucleotides. RefSeq lists it as uncharacterized. The record is from RefSeq and is a predicted model, not a curated record. The transcript has 3 exons. NCBI's taxonomy places the organism in Eukaryota, Metazoa, Chordata, Chondrichthyes, Rhinopristiformes, Pristidae.